This is a long non-coding RNA of Oreochromis aureus, 717 nucleotides long. NCBI's taxonomy places the organism in Eukaryota, Metazoa, Chordata, Actinopteri, Cichliformes, Cichlidae. The record is from Ensembl.
UGGUGAGACGAUGUGUUCACAGAAAACCUGAAGACAUUGAUACAGCUGUGGUGUACUCAACAGUGAGAACUGAAGAUGUCACUUAUGGACAAAUAGCCAUCAAACCAAAGAAGACCAGAGGAAACAAGCAUGAUACAGGAAACAGCAAAGGCAUCAUUUGAUACUGUGAACUGCACAGCAGAGCUUCAGUGCAGGAUGUGUCUGUUUGAGACUGAAACACUUUAUGUCCUUGGACACUCAGAACCCAACCAGCAGCAGGUGACAUGGUGCAAAUGUUCAUUUUAAUGAAGUGUUUAAUCUUGUAAUCUUCUUCUCAUUUUGUAAUGUAAUGUAAUGUUCUGUAAUGGCAUAGACUCAACCACAGGUCACCUUGCAAUAGCCACAUAUCAGGUGUGGUCAAACCUGUGUCAUGAGUGAGAAACAAGUUUCAAACUGAUUCAGAUUAGGCCCAUUUUGUCUUGGUACUCCCUUUUAUUAGCAAGAUGAAUUUCUAUUUAAUAUGAGGUCGAUUAAAAAAAACCCAAAAAAAACAAAAACAGACUGAAUGUAUCAAAUGUUAUUUUUUGAUAUUUAAUUUUGUCUUCUCUAGAGUCCUGAAUGUAAAACCAAAGCAGCAACUUCACUACAGUGUUUUCUAUUUUGGUUAAUAAUAGCUUUCAUGCUGUGAGAACAUGUUUGCUUUGUGCUUUGUGGUGAAGUGCAUCAGUUUGUAGAAAC